UGAGGAUAAAUGGUGCAUGCAUUCAUGCUCCUGGUGUGCUGCCUCCCACAGAUGUAGUUGUGUUUGAGCUGAUGUAUUACAUUUGCCUGAGUGCCUGGCAAUGAAGAUUCCUGAAGAACGGUGUCGAGAGAAACUUGUCUUGGCAGACGUGUAGGAAAUCAGAGAAAAAUAAGCUUCCGCUGGAUGUAGCUGAAGGUUUCACACCAUGCAAGAAAAUGCCAGCCAGAUAUGAUUGGGCUACAAAGAUAAGAGAAUCAAAUAGAUCCCGCUGGCAAUCCUGAUUCCUGAGUAAGACCUACUUCUCAAGUGGUUGGCAGUGACUCACUACAGAAUCUGUGUCCAUCAAAUGGAACUCUCAAGUGAUACACGAGCAUGUUAGGGUGAUGUUUUCCAUGGAGGCCUGCAGCUAUUGGAGGGCAUGUAGGGGUAUUGCGACCCUAUCUGCAUUUUGAAGCAAUGUAAAUAAAAAUAUUGACCAGAUAUUGACCAGAACUUACCUUCUUAGUCCGAUUAUUUUUAA
Zootoca vivipara (common lizard) is the source of this 520-nucleotide long non-coding RNA. RefSeq lists it as uncharacterized. The record is from RefSeq and is a predicted model, not a curated record. NCBI's taxonomy places the organism in Eukaryota, Metazoa, Chordata, Lepidosauria, Squamata, Lacertidae.